Molecule: ribosomal RNA, 253 nt
Filed under: uncultured bacterium
Lineage: Bacteria
Description: partial 16S ribosomal RNA
Rfam family: Bacterial small subunit ribosomal RNA
Source: RNAcentral
UACGUAGGGGGCAAGCGUUGUCCGGAUUUAUUGGGCGUAAAGAGCGUGUAGGCGGCUUUACAGGUCCGUUGUGAAAACUCGAGGCUCAACCUCGAGACGCCGGUGGAAACCGUAAAGCUAGAGUCCGGAAGAGGAGAGUGGAAUUCCUGGUGUAGCGGUGAAAUGCGUAGAGAUCAUGAGGAAGACCAGUGGCGAAGGCGGGUCUCUGGACAGUUCCUGACACUGAGACACGAAGGCCAGGGGAGCAAACGGG